AACGUAAAUUGCGCUCCAGGCUUCGGCCAAGAGCAUGUCUGCCUCAGCGUCGGGUUAAUACUCACAUUUGCACUCCAUCCAGAGUGCCCAUGUGGAUCUGACUGUCUCGGUUUAUUUUACUUAAUUAUCCUGGUCAGCUGAAGCGCAGAUGUCUAGGCAUGGACCGCUAACUCGGGCCUCUCCUGGGUAGGCAACUUGUUUGCUGUAUUGAUUUAGUAGAUGGCUUGGGUACUGUCUUUGGCACGAGGCAGGAGUAUCUGUUCAUACAGGUACAACCAAUACCAUUUUCUCGACCUGAGCUCAGGCAAGAUUACCCGCUGAACUUAA
RNAcentral lists this unclassified non-coding RNA (327 nucleotides) under uncultured fungus. RNAcentral describes it as "partial contains 5.8S rRNA and ITS2". Lineage: Eukaryota; Fungi. The record is from RNAcentral.